RNAcentral lists this ribosomal RNA (492 nucleotides) under uncultured bacterium. RNAcentral's name for it is "partial 16S ribosomal RNA". It matches the Rfam family "Bacterial small subunit ribosomal RNA", at positions 29 to 507 of the family's 1533-position model. The record is from RNAcentral.
AAUGAACGCUGGCGGUAGGCCUAUCACAUGCAAGUCGAACGGCAGCACAGUAAGAGCUUGCUCUUACGGGUGUCGAGUGGCGGACGGGUGAGGAAGACAUCGGAAUCUACUUUUUCGUGGGGGAUAACGUAGGGAAACGUACGCUAAUACCGCAUACGACCUACUGGUGAAAGCAGGGGAUCUUCUGACCUUGCGCGAGUGAAUGAGCCGAUGGUGGAUUAGCUUGUUGGCGGGGUAAAGGCCCACCAAGGCGACGAUGCGUAGCUGGUCUGAUAGGAUGAUCAGCCACCCUGGAACUGAGACACGGUCGAGACUCCUACGGGAGGCAGCAGUGGGGAAUAUUGGACAAUGGGCGCAAGCCUGAUCCAGCCAUACCGAGUGGGUGAAGAAGGCCUUCGGGUUGUAAAGCCCUUUUGUUGGGAAAGAAAAGCAGCAGGUUAAUACCCCGCUGUUCUGACGGUACCCAAAGAAUAAGCACCGGCUAACUUCGUG